GAUCAAGUGAUGCUCUGUUAUGAAUGACUGGACAGUGUCCGUGCUGCCUCACUUCUUGUCAGCCUGGAAUCUGGGUUUAGGAUUUAAGCUGUUCACCUCCAUCUGGUCCCGUCCGAUUCCCGCGCAUCCGAUUUCCAGGGGCUAUACAUGAAUGUGGUUAUGCGGCGUUGAUUGAGGAACUUCUGGAGGAUCGGGAGAUGCUCUUGGAAGCGCACUUUGCCGUUAUGUGCAAUUGUUGGAACCAACUGAUGAUAGCAGUGCUCCUUGAAGGUGAUGAAUCGAUGUGGAAGAUGUACUUUAGAUUUUUCUCUCGUUUUCCUUUCGUAACCUUGAAAUUCUUUCAAUACUUCGACGCGAGCUAAGAUGCUCUUUCGUGAAGAACAUCUAGAAUCGUGUUGAACGGCUGCUUGUUACAGCAAGCUAACUGGCGAAGAACACCGUCAAUUUAGCUAAAAAAUUUCAUCUUUUCCUUUUAUCGUUGCAUGAUUCAACGGGGCAUUUGGAAUUCUCCUAAUUCACGAAAACAUAGUUAUAUUCAGUUGCAUAUCCAGUCACAACCGUAUCUCAACUCCAAUUAGACGCGACGACUACCCACUGCCUCGUGACAUGCACGAGUUACAGAACCUGCUGUGGGAGAUUGCCUCAUCAAUUUGUACAGAGGCUUCAAAUGAAGCUGCAACCGUUCAACAUAAUUCGUGAGGCAUUGGGAUUAGGUGUGAUGCGAAUCAAUUACAGAGAAUUUCCAUUGUGCUCUUGACCCAAUGACCUAACAAGGACGUGAACUUCUCACGAGUGUUACCUCUGUGGUAGAUAGCGCAGAUGUCCGAACACAUGGAAAGUCUAUUUUUUUAGAGGAAUUGUCCACUCUGGAGGAGAAUUAGAUUCAGAUAAUACGACUUGAAAUGCGGUGCUUCGCAAUACAUUUGCAGAAUGUGACAAAUUACAUGACGAAACUAAGCGGAUCUGUGGGGUUGAGCGCAUAAAGAUGGAUCAACAAUUAUGUAGCGACAUCAUAAAUUUUGCAAUA
Molecule: non-coding RNA, 1027 nt
Organism: Physcomitrium patens
Lineage: Eukaryota; Viridiplantae; Streptophyta; Bryopsida; Funariales; Funariaceae
Source: RefSeq, a predicted model, not a curated record